CGCGAGCAGCCCCUCCCCUCCCGUUUUUUUCUGCACAGCCGGUGGCUCCAAGAGCCACCACAGCCGCCACCAGCCACCGAUUGGGGUGGUACCGGUCCCAAAAGAACCGCCAGCUCCUCCUCCUUCCAUCCCGCUCCAUCCCCGACCUCGGCAGCCGCUGGUGUCGCCGGAAUCUGCCGGAAAACGAGCUGGUUUUCACAGAUUUUCAAACCGCUCGUUCUCCCUCAUUUCUUCUCCAAAUUUGACGAGUAAGGUAUGGAUUUCUACCUAUUUUUCAUGCUCUAGCUGAUGGUUGGAUAGGAUUUCGUUAAUUUUUAGCCUAGGAUAGCUGAUCUUCAAUUUGAAAUUCUGCCGAUUUUGAGAGUUUGUUUUCGGCCACUUCCAGUCACUUUUUGGGGUAGGUCUAAGAACAAAAGUGGCUCCAAAUAGGGUGAUAUACCUAGGGUAGGAGUUUGGAGCCGAGAUGUUGAGAUUUUCCGGCGAAGCGUUAUCGCUUUGGGCACCCACGCGCUGCCGGCGCGUGCGGCGGCGCGUGGGCACUGUAGAAAAUUAGCACUGUGUUCCGAUGAGAUCCUUAGGUUGUCACGAGUGCGUAGGAUUUUACGGAUCUCAAUUCGGACAUCGUUUGACUAUCGAACGGAUAAUCGCAUAGUAUGCGUUAUCCGGGUCCGAUAGGUUGGGACCGUCGGAUGGUCCCAAAUUUAAUAUAUGUUAAUCUAGGUAUUUCUAGGAUCGUGUAGGAAUUCACGGAUCCGCAGGUCCGUUUGACCAGGGUUAGAGUAGUUUGACCCUUGGUUGACUGUGAGCCACCCGGAGUAAUCUCACCUCUCCAGGGGAGAUUAUCGGGUGCUAGAUGAUUGUGGAGGGUGACACAAUAUUAGGAUUAAUUUAUAUAAAUAUAAUUAUAUGUGGUUGUACAAGGGUACAACAGAGUCUAGAAUGUCAGUUUGGAGUGCUAUACGCACUACCGUAGGUACCUCCUCGGACGUUGGAUUCACUACAAGUACCACCAAGAGAAAGUGAGGUCGCACGUGGCGUAGGUUAUCCGGCGUGUCGACAGACCCCAUACGUGGCGUUGGUUGUACCGGCGUAUGCGGAGCUAUGUAAUAUGAUGUUCAGGUCUCACGUGGCGUAGGUUAUUCGGCGUUGAGACAGACCCCAUAUGUGGCGUUGGUUGUACCGGCGUAUGGGGAGCUAUGUAAUAAUGUGUUGAGGUCGCACGUGGCGUAGGUUAUCCGGCGUGUCGACAGACCCCAUACGUGGCGUUGGUUGUACCGGCGUAUGGGGAGAUUUGUGAUAUGAUAUUGAGGUCCCGCGUGGCGUAGGUUAUCCGGCGUUGGGACAGGCCCCAUACGUGGCGUUGGUUGUACCGGCGUAUGGGGAGAUUAUAUGAAAUACAAAGAAAUGAAAUAAGGUAUCGCUCAAGUAGGGAAUUGAGUUUUAGGGAAGAACUACGUGUGGCUUGAUCCCUCAAGGAGGGUACGUAGGCAGCCUGAGGUUAUUAGGUGCAGCCGCAGACUAAAUAUUAGUCAUAAAUUGUAAUUGAAUUGUUUGGUAGUUGUUUGAGAAUUUUGGAAGGCCGAAGGCCAUUUAUGAGAAUUUGCAUGAGAUUAUAUUGUGCAUGCUGCCCGUUGGUGAUAUUAAAUGCGUUUUCAUGCAGGUAUAAAUUUUGGGAAACGUCCAAUUUACAGGGGAGACUCUGCCGAAAUUUUGGCAGGAUUUCGGCAGGAAGUCUCGGUUUCAGUGAGUGGGCCUGACAUCGGGGUGAUGUCAGGAAUCCCCAAAGGGUUCGUCUCGAAUUUUGAGAAAAUUCGGGGCGGGUCCUUAACGUUGGUAUCAGAGCUCUAGGUUCAAUUCCCUGUGGACCCUACACUUUAUGUGCAUCCUUAAAUUGUGGGGAUCAAAAUGGGUACCAUCUCGGAAUGGCACAUUUGCGACGUUGAGGACGUCACAAAAGUCAAAUUAUUUCACAAAGGAAAGGUACAUAGGCCACCGGAGCAUAAGUAGAGCUGGAGCUUUACCACAGACAGUGGUUGUUUCAGAAGUUCCGGAAGAUGGCGAGUAGAAGCCGAAAGUUUGCAUAGGGUAACACCUGUACGUAUGGUACAGUUGGAUGUCCCUAUGAUAAAGUUGUCCGUUGGGUUCGCAUAAGCGGGAGGUAGGGAGUGGAUCCACCUACUUCUAGGGAUCCUCCAUUGCCUGAACAUGUUGCUAAUUUUCGAUUGUGUGCCUAGAGCACCGAGUCGAAGAUCCUAAGAGCAUAACCUCUCUCUGGGACGAGCAACUCCCCGACAUUGGAUCAAGGGAUCCAGGGUCUGAAGGGUGGUGUUGGUAUAAUCGAAAUCACAAGUGUCUCUUACAGAAAGAGGCUCGUGUGUGGUGAGAAUACUAUGGUCAAGUCUAAGGACGAGACCCAGAUGGAUGGAGAGAGUCCUUUGGGGUCUCAUCUCACGUGAGCACGUUUGAGUAGAGAUCUUUCAUCGGAAUCAGAAAUGGAUCAUGGUCGAGAGAGAUCGAUGAUGAUUACAAUUCGGUAAAAAUGAUCAUUUCUGACUUUUCUCUCAACGAAUCGUGUUAGCAAAGUAAAGGGAGAAGUAGUGGAGUUGGGUGUAACCGUACUUCAUUUGCGUGGGCUUGAAUGCCGCGAUUGACAGGAGUGGAACAUUAGGGUUCUUCUUCUUCCUUGCUCUCUCACGUGAGCUCGCCAUAGUUAGAGAAGGAGACUUUUCUUUCUCUGCUUGCUUAGCUAGAGCUUUUGGCUUGGUUGCCAACACGGUUGUGGAGAAAGAACUUGGGAACCCGAGUGGUAGAUGCGGGCCCCAUGCUCACAACCCUUCGAAUGACAAGGUAGGAAAUUUCGGGGACGAAAUUUUUAUAAGGGGGGUAGUCUGUAACACCCCGACCCCAAAUUUCCCCAAAUUUUACCCUCAUUUAAUUAUUUAAUUAUUUAAGGAUAUUUUAGUCAUAUUUUUAACCGGAGAGAGUUUGGGACCGCGACUUACAUUUUUGGAUAGGUCGUACUGAGAAGAGUUCAUAGACACGUAGUGGGCUCGAAUCGGAGUUGUAACGAGAGAGAUAUGGUCAAAAGAAACCCAGUGGCACAAUCGUAAAUAUUUCGAAAUGGGAUUUUUUAUAAAAAAAACCUGGUUUCUCUCUCUCUCUCUCUCUCUCUCUCUCUCUCUCUCUCUCUCUCUCUCUCUCUCCCGCGAGCAGCCCCUCCCCUCCCGUUUUUUUCUGCACAGCUGGUGGCUCCAAGAGCCACCACAGCCGCCACCAGCCACCGAUUGGGGUGGUACCGGUCCCAAAAGAACCGCCAGCUCCUCCUCCUUCCAUCCCGCUCCAUCCCCGACCUCGGCAGCCGCUGGUGUCGCCGGAAUCUGCCGGAAAACGAGCUGGUUUUCACAGAUUUUCAAACCGCUCGUUCUCCCUCAUUUCUUCUCCAAAUUUGACGAGUAAGGUAUGGAUUUCUACCUAUUUUUCAUGCUCUAGCUGAUGGUUGGAUAGGAUUUCGUUAAUUUUGAGCCUAGGAUAGCUGAUCUUCAAUUUGAAAUUCUGCCGAUUUUGAGAGUUUGUUUUCGGCCACUUCCAGUCACUUUUUGGGGUAGGUCCAAGAACAAAAGUGGCUCCAAAUAGGGUGAUAUACCUAGGGUAGGAGUUUGGAGCCGAGAUGUUGAGAUUUUCCGGCGAAGCGUUAUCGCUUUGGGCACCCACGCGCUGCCGGCGCGUGCGGCGGCGCGUGGGCACUGUAGAAAAUUAGCACUGUGUUCCGAUGAGAUCCUUAGGUUGUCACGAGUGCGUAGGAUUUUGCGGAUCUCAAUUCGGACAUCGUUUGACUAUCGAACGGAUAAUUGCAUAGUAUGCGUUAUCCGGGUCCGAUAGGUUGGGACCGUCGGAUGGUCCCAAAUUUAAUAUAUGUUAAUCUAGGUAUUUCUUGGAUCGUGUAGGAAUUCACGGAUCGUGAAUCGGAGCCCCGGAUGUUCCGAAUAAUAAUUUAAAGUUUAUAUUUUAUAUUAACC
This 4016-nucleotide long non-coding RNA is filed under the name Prunus persica (peach). RNAcentral's name for it is "long non-coding RNA (PPER_LNC008351)". Lineage: Eukaryota; Viridiplantae; Streptophyta; Magnoliopsida; Rosales; Rosaceae. The record is from RNAcentral.